AAGAAUCUGCCACCGGGUAGAAAUGCAAAAAGCAUUUGCGCACAUCGUUAGGUCUUGGAAGAUGUGCUUGCAAAUGCUUUCUUUUUUU
RNAcentral lists this non-coding RNA (88 nucleotides) under unclassified sequences. The record is from RNAcentral.